This 450-nucleotide ribosomal RNA is filed under the name uncultured bacterium. Its description in RNAcentral is "SSU rRNA". It matches the Rfam family "Bacterial small subunit ribosomal RNA", at positions 26 to 518 of the family's 1533-position model. The record is from RNAcentral.
AGAGCGAACGCUGGCGGCAGGCUUAACACAUGCAAGUCGAACGGAUCCUUCGGGAUUAGUGGCGGACGGGUGAGUAACACGUGGGAACGUGCCUUUUGGUUCGGAACAACUCAGGGAAACUUGAGCUAAUACCGGAUGUGCCCUUCGGGGGAAAGAUUUAUCGCCAUUAGAGCGGCCCGCGUCUGAUUAGCUAGUUGGUGAGGUAAAGGCCCACCAAGGCUACGAUCAGUAGCUGGUCUGAGAGGAUGACCAGCCACAUUGGGACUGAGACACGGCCCAAACUCCUACGGGAGGCAGCAGUGGGGAAUCUUGCGCAAUGGGCGAAAGCCUGAUGCAGCGACGCCGCGUGAGGGAUGACUGCCUUCGGGUUGUAAACCUCUUUCAGCAGGGACGAAGCGAAAGUGACGGUACCUGCAGAAGAGCACCGGCCAACUACGCGCCAGCAGCCGC